GACGAAGGGGGGCUAGCGUUGUUCGGAAUUACUGGGCGUAAAGCGCGUGUAGGCGGUUGUCCAAGUUGGAUGUGAAAGCCUUGAGCUUAACUCAAGAAAUGCAUUCAGGACUGGAUGACUAGAGGACCGGAGAGGAUAGUGGAAUUCCCAGUGUAGUGGUGAAAUACGUAGAGAUUGGGAAGAACACCAGUGGCGAAGGCGGCUAUCUGGACGGUUUCUGACGCUAAGACGCGAAAGCGUGGGGGAGCAAACAGG
Molecule: ribosomal RNA, 255 nt
Filed under: uncultured bacterium
Lineage: Bacteria
Description: partial 16S ribosomal RNA
Rfam family: Bacterial small subunit ribosomal RNA
Source: RNAcentral